GACGAACGCUGGCGGCGUGCCUAAUACAUGCAAGUAGAACGCUGAAGCUUGGUGCUUGCACCGAGCGGAUGAGUUGCGAACGGGUGAGUAACGCGUAGGUAACCUGCCUGGUGGCGGGGGAUAACUAUUGGAAACGAUAGCUAAUACCGCAUAAGAGUAGAUGUUGCAUGACAUUUGCUUAAAAGGUGCAAUUGCAUCACUACCAGAUGGACCUGCGUUGUAUUAGCUAGUUGGUGAGGUAACGGCUCACCAAGGCAACGAUACAUAGCCGACCUGAGAGGGUGAUCGGCCACACUGGGACUGAGACACGGCCCAGACUCCUACGGGAGGCAGCAGUAGGGAAUCUUCGGCAAUGGACGGAAGUCUGACCGAGCAACGCCGCGUGAGUGAAGAAGGUUUUCGGAUCGUAAAGCUCUGUUGUAAGGGAAGAACGAGUGUGAGAGUGGAAAGUUCACACUGUGACGGUAUCUUACCAGAAAGGGACGGCUAACUACGUG
Molecule: ribosomal RNA, 497 nt
Filed under: uncultured bacterium
Lineage: Bacteria
Description: partial 16S ribosomal RNA
Rfam family: Bacterial small subunit ribosomal RNA
Source: RNAcentral